RNAcentral lists this ribosomal RNA (371 nucleotides) under uncultured bacterium. RNAcentral's name for it is "bacterial SSU rRNA". It matches the Rfam family "Bacterial small subunit ribosomal RNA", at positions 28 to 416 of the family's 1533-position model. The record is from RNAcentral.
GACGAACGCUGGCGGCGUGCCUAACACAUGCAAGUCGAGGGUUUUAGUAGUAAUACGAAGAACACUGGCGCACGGGUGAGUAACGCGUAGAUCAUCUGCCCCUAACACUGACAUAACAGUUCUAACGGACUGCUAAUAUCAGAUGUGAUAAGCAAUUAUUAAAGGGUAACCGGUUAGGGAUGAGUCUGCGUCUGAUUAGGUAGUUGGUGAGGUAACGGCUCACCAAGCCUACGAUCAGUAACUGGUCUGAGAGGACGAACAGUCACACUGGAACUGAGACACGGUCCAGACUCCUACGGGAGGCAGCAGUGAGGAAUUUUGGACAAUGGGCGAAAGCCUGAUCCAGCGACGCCGCGUGGGUGAUAAGGCCU